This 514-nucleotide ribosomal RNA is filed under the name uncultured marine group I thaumarchaeote. Its description in RNAcentral is "bacterial SSU rRNA". It matches the Rfam family "Archaeal small subunit ribosomal RNA", at positions 408 to 921 of the family's 1478-position model. The record is from RNAcentral. Lineage: Archaea; Thermoproteati; Nitrososphaerota.
UUUUGCUAGUCAUAAAACCACUAGUGAAUAAGGGGUGGGCAAGUUCUGGUGUCAGCCGCCGCGGUAAAACCAGCACCUCAAGUGGUCAGGAUGAUUAUUGGGCCUAAAGCAUCCGUAGCCGGCUCUGUAAGUUUUCGGUUAAAUCUAUGCGCUCAACGUAUGGGCUGCCGAAAAUACUGUAGAGAUAGGGAGUGGGAGAGGUAGACGGUACUCGGUAGGAAGGGGUAAAAUCCUUUGAUCUAUCGAUGACCACCUGUGGCGAAGGCGGUCUACCAGAACACGUUCGACGGUGAGGGAUGAAAGCUGGGGGAGCAAACCGGAUUAGAUACCCGGGUAGUCCCAGCUGUAAACGAUGCAGACUCGAUGAUGCAUUGGCAUAUAGCCAGUGCAGUGUCGCAGGGGAGCCGUUAAGUCUGCCGCCUGGGAAGUACGUACGCAAGUAUGAAACUUAAAGGAAUUGGCGGGGGAGCACCACAAGGGGUGAAGCCUGCGGUUCAAUUGGAGUCAACGCCGG